Molecule: ribosomal RNA, 253 nt
Filed under: uncultured bacterium
Lineage: Bacteria
Description: partial 16S ribosomal RNA
Rfam family: Bacterial small subunit ribosomal RNA
Source: RNAcentral
UACGGGGGGGGCAAGCGUUGUUCGGAAUUACUGGGCGUAAAGGGCUCGUAGGCGGCCAACUAAGUCAGACGUGAAAUCCCUCAGCUCAACUGGGAAACUGCGUCUGAGACUGGCGAGCUUGGGUGCAGGAGAGGAAUGCGGAAUUCCAGGUGUAGCGGUGAAAUGCGUAGAUAUCUGGAGGAACACCGGUGGCGAAGGCGGCGUUCUGGACUGCAACUGACACUGAGGAACGAAAGCCAGGGGAGCAAACGGG